This 253-nucleotide ribosomal RNA is filed under the name uncultured bacterium. RNAcentral's name for it is "partial 16S ribosomal RNA". It matches the Rfam family "Bacterial small subunit ribosomal RNA", at positions 524 to 776 of the family's 1533-position model. The record is from RNAcentral.
UACGAAGGGGGCAAGCGUUACUCGGAAUUAUUGGGCGUAAAGCGUACGUAGGCGGACUUAUAAGUUGCAAGUGAAAGCCUUUGGCUCAACCAAAGAAUUGCUUGCAAAACUGUAAGUCUAGAGUCCUAGAGAGGACAGGGGAAUUCCUGGUGUAGGGGUGAAAUCCGUAGAUAUUAGGAGGAAGGUCAAAUGCGAAGGCAUCUGUCUGGAUAGGUACUGACGCUGAGGUACGAAGGCGUGGGGAGCAAACAGG